UUUUCCGCAUUUCUGCUGGACAUCAAUAAUUUGCUGCAAUUCCAGUGACUUUCAGAUGCAGAUUUCAAUGUGAGCCUCCGACUGCAAUUGAAUUGUAACGUGGAGAUAAGAAUUGGAAGGUGACUAUGACGGAAGGUUACACCAUGAAUCUGCAGAAUGACACCGGGCUGGAAGUGAGACACCGCGCCGCAUUGCUCAAGGCUGAAUUUAAAGUGCUGGAACAAACCGAGAACUAUACACAAAUGCAGCUGGAGACAAAUCAAUGUUCUGAUCUGUGCCCCUCUUCUCACAAAUCUCUGCUGUUCUGUACAGAAAUACUUCUAUUCAGAUAAUCAAGAAGCUGCAAUUAAAAUGAGAACGAAACAAU
This is a long non-coding RNA of Pseudophryne corroboree (corroboree frog), 367 nucleotides long. RefSeq lists it as uncharacterized. Lineage: Eukaryota; Metazoa; Chordata; Amphibia; Anura; Myobatrachidae. The transcript has 2 exons. The record is from RefSeq and is a predicted model, not a curated record.